Pelobates cultripes (western spadefoot toad) is the source of this 160-nucleotide non-coding RNA. Lineage: Eukaryota; Metazoa; Chordata; Amphibia; Anura; Pelobatidae. The record is from the annotation of a GenBank genome assembly.
GAUCGUCUGGAAGGGGUGCCAAAAAGGUAGAUCCCCAGAUGAUCUAGAACUACAACUCCCAUGAUUCUUUGUAUUCCUUUAGAAUGACAAAGCAUCAUGGAAGCUGUAGUUUUAAAACAUCUGGUGAUCUACCUUUUGGGUGCCCCAGUUCUAGUGUGUU